Molecule: non-coding RNA, 211 nt
Organism: Salvelinus sp. IW2-2015
Lineage: Eukaryota; Metazoa; Chordata; Actinopteri; Salmoniformes; Salmonidae
Source: RefSeq, a predicted model, not a curated record
ACAUCCUAAACCCACAGAGGUUUAAACAGUGGUGUAGUAGGAGCUACACGGAGGUAUACCUCCUAAACCCUACAGAGGUUUAAACAGUGGUGUAGUAGGAGCUACACGGAGGUAUACCUCCUAAACCCUACAGAGGUUUAAACAGUGGUGUAGUAGGAGCUACACGGAGGUAUACAUCCUAAACCCACAGAGGUUUAAACAGUGGGGUAGU